UUUUAUUUAUAUAUGUUUAUAUGUAAAGUUUGUACGUGCUUCGGAGUUUGUACUUGUUUUGGAGUUUGUACGUGCUUUGUCUCUAGGGGCCACCAUAAAUAUACAUGUAUUUAUUCCCUCCACAUGAAAUGUAAUAAAUAAAUUAUAAAAUACAAAAACCAACUAUUUACAUUUCAACUUUUAACUAUUUAAAUUUUCAGCUUUUUGCUUUUAAACAAAUUUAAAGUGAAACAACACAAAACACUGCAAACCACAACACAAUAAAAUAUAAAUUAAAAUAUGCAAAACAAAAAGAAGAUGCACAUUCUCUGUCAUAUAAACCUGGGAUGAUUUUUUGCGGAGUGUUUUCCUGCUUGGAAUUGCAUACAUAGGAUUCACUGCAUGAAUAAACUUUCUGAAUCCUUUAUCACCUGCAACUGAAAAUAGUUGUGGACAUUGGCGGGGGUGGCUUACUGGGCUUAAGCCCGGGUUGUUUUUUCAGAAGCCCGAGGUCUUUUGGAGUGUAAUUUUUUUUCAUAGUUAGAUGCCUGAUUGACAAUUGUAUAAAACAAAAACUACACACAAUAUUCGAAGCACAUAGCGCAGACAGUGGGAAUUUACGACUGUGCGUAAAUUCCUCCUAAUUUUGGUAUGAUCCGAGCUCAGGCACUAGCCGACUGAGCACCGCUCUUAUGUGAGCGAGGGGGGAGAAGCUGCUGCCUGCGAGUUUCCUGUAGAAGUGCAGACAGGCAGACAGAGGAGAGCUUAAGUUUGACCAGGUACUAAAGCAAAUCAUCCGCACUGUACAAAUAAUGUAAAUAUGACGGUGUAUCGCAAAAGAUUGAUAUCAAACUGAUCACUUGACCUAUAUUACGAUACUUGCUCUUGGAGUGAAUCAACAAAUCGCGAAAUGAAAAGCCGAACAACAAUGCAGUUUUUUUAGUGAGUCUUAGCUUACAUGUGUUUUUAUUUCAUAUUUUCAGUUGUUACCCUCCACAACUAAACAAAGCACUCCAAAUCGGUUUCAGUUAUGUACUGAUAUACAACAAUGGACAUAAGGAGCUUCUUUCAAAGAAAAAACUCAGCACAAAGAGGGAGAGAGAGGAACAGAGAGGGAGAUGGAGAGGAGAAUGAGGACAGAACAGAGAUGGAACAAGAGCCAGCUAACCUCCACACCACAUGCCUGCUGGACCUGCUAGCCGCUCCCGCCUCGCCAGACUGCUGUUACAAAGUGGCGCCCGAACAGGGACGGGGAGUGAGGAAGAUGGCUGUGACCCGGAUGCUGAGGCGCCUAGCCUGACAAAGUACAUCUUCCCUCACUCUACGCCUCUUGACCUCAACCUUGAAGUGGGAAACUUGGAAGGAGAGGUCGGGAAGCCACGAAUUUGCUUACGGGAUUCACUGGAGC
Oreochromis aureus is the source of this 1387-nucleotide long non-coding RNA. Lineage: Eukaryota; Metazoa; Chordata; Actinopteri; Cichliformes; Cichlidae. The record is from Ensembl.